RNAcentral lists this transfer RNA (63 nucleotides) under Dipodomys ordii (Ord's kangaroo rat). It matches the Rfam family "tRNA". Rfam says of the family: Transfer RNA (tRNA) molecules are approximately 80 nucleotides in length. The record is from Rfam by way of RNAcentral. Lineage: Eukaryota; Metazoa; Chordata; Mammalia; Rodentia; Heteromyidae.
GGGAAUGUGGCUUAGUGGUAGAGUGCUUGCCUAGCAUGCAUGAAGCCCUGAGUUCCAUUCCUU